GGAUAAGUUAGAUGUGAAAGCCCCGGGCUCAACCUGGGAAUUGCAUUUAAAACUGUCCAGCUAGAGUCUUGUAGAGGGGGGUAGAAUUCCAGGUGUAGCGGUGAAAUGCGUAGAGAUCUGGAGGAAUACCGGUGGCGAAGGCGGCCCCCUGGACAAAGACUGACGCUCAGGUGCGAAAGCGUGGGGAGCAAACAGGAUUAGAUACCCUGGUAGUCCACGCCGUAAACGAUGUCGAUUUGGAGGCUGUGUCCUUGAGACGUGGCUUCCGGAGCUAACGCGUUAAAUCGACCGCCUGGGGAGUACGGCCGC
Molecule: ribosomal RNA, 309 nt
Filed under: uncultured Aeromonas sp.
Lineage: Bacteria; Pseudomonadati; Pseudomonadota; Gammaproteobacteria; Aeromonadales; Aeromonadaceae
Description: bacterial SSU rRNA
Rfam family: Bacterial small subunit ribosomal RNA
Source: RNAcentral